RNAcentral lists this long non-coding RNA (202 nucleotides) under Capsicum annuum. Its description in RNAcentral is "long non-coding RNA (CANN_LNC009193)". Lineage: Eukaryota; Viridiplantae; Streptophyta; Magnoliopsida; Solanales; Solanaceae. The record is from RNAcentral.
UCGUGUUCUUGUUUAGGUCUUGUUAGAGUCUAGUUAUUUCAUAGCUUGGUAAUUGUGAUAGUCGUCGGAACUUGUGUUUGUGUGAUUUUGUACUAAGAAGUAGGUUUGACUUCUUGGAGAGUGUGAAUUGAAGCAGUCAUAUCUAGUUGUUUGAGUCUAAUGAAUGAAGUUUAUAUUUUGAAUUUGGAGUUGUAAUUUUAAA